AACGAACGCUGGCGGCAGGCUUAACACAUGCAAGUCGAACGCCACCUUCGGGUGGAGUGGCAGACGGGUGAGUAACGCGUGGGAACGUACCUUUUGGUUCGGAAUAUUCUCGGGAAACUGAGAGCAAUACCGGAUAAGCCCUUCGGGGAAAGAUUAUCGCCAAAAGAUCGGCCCGCGUUAGAUUAGGUAGUUGGUAGGGUAAUGGCCUACCAAGCCUACGAUCUAUAGCUGGUCUGAGAGGAUGAUCAGCCACAUUGGGACUGAGACACGGCCCAAACUCCUACGGGAGGCAGCAGUGGGGAAUAUUGGACAAUGGGCGAAAGCCUGAUCCAGCCAUGCCGCGUGAAUGAUGAAGGCCUUAGGGUUGUAAAAUUCUUUCAACGGGGACGAUAAUGACGGUACCCGUAGAAGAAGCCCGGCUAACUUCGUGCCAGCAGCCGCGGUAAUG
RNAcentral lists this ribosomal RNA (448 nucleotides) under uncultured bacterium. RNAcentral's name for it is "bacterial SSU rRNA". It matches the Rfam family "Bacterial small subunit ribosomal RNA", at positions 29 to 525 of the family's 1533-position model. The record is from RNAcentral.